CUGGUGGCGUGCUUAACACAUGCAAGUCGAACGGUGAAGCCCAGCUUGCUGGGUGGAUCAGUGGCGAACGGGUGAGUAACACGUGAGCAACCUGCCCCCCACUUCGGGAUAAGCCUUGGAAACGAGGUCUAAUACCGGAUACGAGCAUUCACCGCAUGGUGGGUGUUGGAAAGUUUUUCGGUGGGGGAUGGGCUCGCGGCCUAUCAGCUUGUUGGUGGGGUAAUGGCCUACCAAGGCGUCGACGGGUAGCCGGCCUGAGAGGGCGACCGGCCACACUGGGACUGAGACACGGCCCAGACUCCUACGGGAGGCAGCAGUGGGGAAUAUUGCACAAUGGGCGAAAGCCUGAUGCAGCGACGCCACGUGAGGGAUGACGGCCUUCGGGUUGUAAACCUCUUUCAGCAGGGAAGAAGCGAGAGUGACGGUACCUGCAGAAGAAGCGCCGGCUAACUACGUGCCAGCAGCCGCGGUAAUACGUAGGGCGCAAGCGUUGUCCGGAAUUAUUGGGCGUAAAGAGCUCGUAGGCGGUCUGUCGCGUCUGGUGUGAAAUCCCAUGGCUCAACUGUGGGCUUGCAUCGGGUACGGGCAGACUAGAGUGCUGUAGGGGAGACUGGAAUUCCUGGUGUAGCGGUGGAAUGCGCAGAUAUCAGGAGGAACACCGAUGGCGAAGGCAGGUCUCUGGGCAGUUACUGACGCUGAGGAGCGAAAGCAUGGGGAGCGAACAGGAUUAGAUACCCUGGUAGUCCAUGCCGUAAACGUUGGGCACUAGGUGUGGGGCGGGUUCCACUCGUUCUGUGCCGCAGCUAACGCAUUAAGUGCCCCGCCUGGGGAGUACGGCCGCAAGGCUAAAACUCAAAGGAAUUGACGGGGGCCCGCACAAGCGGCGGAGCAUGCGGAUUAAUUCGAUGCAACGCGAAGAACCUUACCAAGGCUUGACAUGUACGA
This 945-nucleotide ribosomal RNA is filed under the name Promicromonospora alba. RNAcentral describes it as "bacterial SSU rRNA". It matches the Rfam family "Bacterial small subunit ribosomal RNA", at positions 36 to 993 of the family's 1533-position model. Lineage: Bacteria; Bacillati; Actinomycetota; Actinomycetes; Micrococcales; Promicromonosporaceae. The record is from RNAcentral.